GAUGAACGCUGGCGGCGUGCUUAACACAUGCAAGUCGAACGGGAAAUACUUUAUUGAAACUUUGGUGGAUUUAAUUUAUUUCUAGUGGCGGACGGGUGAGUAACGCGUGGGUAACCUGCCUUAUACUGGGGGAUAACAGCCAGAAAUGACUGCUAAUACCGCAUAAGCGCACAGAACCGCAUGGUUCCGUGUGAAAAACUCCGGUGGUAUAAGAUGGACCCGCGUUGGAUUAGCUAGUUGGCAGGGCAGCGGCCUACCAAGGCGACGAUCCAUAGCCGGCCUGAGAGGGUGAACGGCCACAUUGGGACUGAGACACGGCCCAGACUCCUACGGGAGGCAGCAGUGGGGAAUAUUGCACAAUGGGGGAAACCCUGAUGCAGCGACGCCGCGUGAAGGAAGAAGUAUCUCGGUAUGUAAACUUCUAUCAGCAGGGAAGACAAUGACGG
This 446-nucleotide ribosomal RNA is filed under the name uncultured bacterium. RNAcentral's name for it is "bacterial SSU rRNA". It matches the Rfam family "Bacterial small subunit ribosomal RNA", at positions 28 to 457 of the family's 1533-position model. The record is from RNAcentral.